UUGUGUUGAUAAUAGACUGGUGAUAUCAGGGAAGAACCAUUUAGGACACACUGAAGCAAUCCAGGUGAGUUACAAGAAGUCCUCAGCAAGAGACCCACCCUACAGCAAACAUAACUUCAAGUGAAAGGAAAAUGAAAUUAGAUGGAAUACUGACUCUAGAAGAAGGAAGAGAAACAGAAAUGGUAACUAUUCAGGUGCCUGCUUUACAAGGUCUGGUGCAUUGUUUCAUAUCCCAGUUAC
Talpa occidentalis (Iberian mole) is the source of this 240-nucleotide long non-coding RNA. RefSeq lists it as uncharacterized. The record is from RefSeq and is a predicted model, not a curated record. Lineage: Eukaryota; Metazoa; Chordata; Mammalia; Eulipotyphla; Talpidae. The transcript is spliced from 3 exons.